CUAAUCCAUAAAGGCUUGAGUACCAGUAACAGCUAGGGCUAGAUGGCCCCAGAUUCAGGGCUUGACCAUUCCACUUACUCUUCGACUGAAGUACUAGUCUUUUUGCCAUCUAGCAACAACCCUUCCAUUAUCAAUAGCUAGCCUGGCAGCCUUGUAAACUCUACAGAUCAGAUAGCGUGGACAGCAAAGUAUGACAUAUGGAUAUAUUAGGAACAGAUGUCCAUGGGAUGGGCUACAUGUCUAUCCCAAGAUUAGCACUAAGCUUGAAAUCAACUUAGCAUUCCCUGUAACCUAAAUUAGCUUCCAUUUCAAAAUAAAUGCUGGGUG
Molecule: non-coding RNA, 327 nt
Organism: Pelobates cultripes (western spadefoot toad)
Lineage: Eukaryota; Metazoa; Chordata; Amphibia; Anura; Pelobatidae
Source: the annotation of a GenBank genome assembly